UACAGAGGGUGCGAACGUUGCUCGGAAUUACUGGGAGUAAAGCGCGUGUAGGCGGAUCGGCAAGUCAGGCGUGAAAUCCCCAGGCUCAACCUGGGAACUGCACUUGAAACUGCCGACCUUGAGUAUCGGAGAGGGUGGCGGAAUUCCUGGUGUAGAGGUGAAAUUCGUAGAUAUCAGGAGGAACACCGGUGGCGAAGGCGGCCACCUGGACGAUUACUGACGCUGAGACGCGAAAGCGUGGGGAGCAAACAGG
RNAcentral lists this ribosomal RNA (253 nucleotides) under uncultured bacterium. RNAcentral's name for it is "partial 16S ribosomal RNA". It matches the Rfam family "Bacterial small subunit ribosomal RNA", at positions 524 to 776 of the family's 1533-position model. The record is from RNAcentral.